AUGCUUCGGCAACCAUACAAUAACAUGUAUGAAAACAUGUAUGGAAAUAAAUUCAAUACAACAGGGCAAUUCAGUACAGGGCAAUGGCAAUGCUGAGCGAUUAGCAAACAUUCAGCAGUACAUGACCAGUAUGGUGACUCAAGUACAACAGCAGCAGAAAGGCCCAGCUAUAGCUAGAGUAACACAAUGAAAGGUCCACCUAUAGUUAGAGUAACACAAUGAAAGGUCCACCUAUAGCUAGAGUAACACAAUGAAAGGUCCACCUAUAGUUAGAGUAACACAAUGAAAGGUCCACCUAUAGCUUGAGUAACACAAUGAAAGACAAGUGGAGAUGUGGUGAAAAGUUGUCUACGUGACCAACCACUGGACAUACGUUGAAAUUAUGUCUGUGAGUAAAAAGUUCAUGAAAUAACCUCUAACGGGUAAUGAGAAAAGAAACAAAUAAGCUUUGCAGAGUCGAACACCAAUAAAUGCUAAUCAUUCAAAUAUUCAUUAACUGAAAAUCAAAACGUUUUAUUCUGCUACCAGAGGCAGGUUUAUAGGUGAGUGUUGUGGGUCAAUAUGAGUCUGUUUUGUUGGAGUGAUUUGUGAUUGCACACUAACCGUGUCUUAUGACCUUACUGAGAUUAACCAACAUUGGACGUCCUUACCAAGGUUCACAACAUUGAAUGAUGUAACUAGGUCCGGAGUCAGCGGGAUGAUGUAACUCUUGGUUAGAAUUGUCAUUGACUGAUAAGAGACAUUAAUCAGCACCUUGAUGAACGGCUUCAGCCUCCUCACAGGCUACAUCAUUAUAUUGCUUUUCAUAACCUAUGUCUGACAGCAUGUGUCCAUGGUUACGAUUAAAGCCUGAGGUAAUGUGACAUAUUCUAUGCAUUAAGCAGAGUGCUCUUAAAAAUGUCACAUGAGGAGGCCGGAUCCUUCAGUCAGCAUCACAGUCCAUAUGACGGACAUCCAUGAGGGAUGGAUGGAGGUCAUUGCAAUACCACGGGCAUCCAGCAGAGGGAAACAGACAUCCAUGAGGGCUGACACUGGCUGAGGGGUUUUAGAUGGCAGGGCGGUUUGCCACUGCGAUACCCACAGUAUCCACAGGGGGGAAGCAGAGCCUGUGUUAUGAGUGACGUGUGCCUCUCUUGUCUAUUCUCCUCCCCAUGUGUCUCGCCACCUUUUCUUUUCUGCUCUCUUCUGUUUCUCUCUUCUCCUUUCCUUCUCCAUGUGACUCUCCCCUCCUCUUCACUCAGCUCCUCUCUCUUCUGUCUCCUCUCUCAUGUGACUUUACACACUUUGCUCCUCUUUCCUCUUAUCUUAUACCAUCCGCUAUUCUCCGUUUUCCACUCUUCUCUUCUCUGGUCCGCUGGUCUCUCUUCUCCUAUCCCCUUUGCUCUCCUCUCUUAUUCUGCAGCGAAGGACUGACGGUUUGCUACACAGGCUGUUCAAAGCCGUUACUGGGACAUGCUCUCAGUGCAUCCAGAGAGCGAGUGGAUGGUCGCACUGAGGCGUAGUCACUGGCAGCAACAGUACAGCAGUAGACAUAAAGGGAAACGUGGAGAUAUUUCAGCCUGGGCCCUAUUUUAUCUCUGUCUUUUUCAUCCAAUUUUGUACUAGGGGCAAAAACGAUCAAAAUUGUGCCUAGUAUUGAGUUAGAAGGCUAAAACCACAAAACGGCUAUACAAUGGAAUCCUAUGGAGCAAGCAUGCAUGUCAAAGUAAACCGCUUGUUUUAGCCACCGACAGGCUCGUAAAUGUUAUUAUAGGGGUCUGACAAAGAAAAGGAUCUCUACUGAGAUACACCUGCAUCUUUUUAACCCAAUGACUAUAUAUCUAAAUAAUAGAGAAACUAUAAUAAUGUUUUAUCUCCCUUUUUUUCCGGUCUCUGACGAAGCACCCCAUUCAGUACAUGCAGUCAACUGGCCUAUCUUGUGGGGCAGGAGUGGGCACUCCGAGGAAAGCGCCUCCCUUCGAUAAUCAUUUUCUACAGUUUCUUUACAGUUAUUGGAGUAGGCGGACUAUGACGUGACUGGACGCAUGAAAGCCCCCUCACACACACAGCGCAUAUACACACAAAUAAGGCCAGAAUAAUAACCUAACUUUGACAUUCACCUGCAUCUUAACAGGAUUUACAGCACAGCCAUCUGAACACUCAAAACUAAACACAAUAACAAAAAAAUAAAUUCACCUGUAUCAACACAGGAUUCACAGCGCAGGUAUAGUGAAUUCAAGCCAACAGCACAUAGGCCUAACAAGAAAUAAAUUCACCUGUUAACAACAGGAUUUACAACGCAGGUAACUCAAUCACAGAUUUAGGGCCCUGAGCACCAGAGCCAAAGCCAGAGCCCCUGCCUCCCCAGAACCGUGUCAGGGCCCCAAAGCUGUAAAUGUAUUUCUUGUUAUUGUGUUGUUAGUUUUCAGUGUUCAGAUACAUUCCUGGUUAUUGGGGUAAACAGACGCAGGUGUAAUUAGUAUCAUCCAAUGAAAAAAAAUCGUACUACUUAAACUGUUCUAGCACUUUUAAUGAAUGUUUCUGUAGGCAGACAGUUUUGUAUCAGAUCAGAUUUAUUUAGAUUAUAUAUGUUCAUGUGGUGAGAAGAGAGAUAAACACACCUGUAUUUCCCACCAACUGCCCAGGCUAUUCAAUAUGUAUCACUGAAUGUUUGUCACCGGCAUGUAUCAGUUCACAAGCUUUUAUCAGUGCCAACUGUACUGUUGCUGAUGUCCCUUAGCUGUUAAGCAGUCUGCUUGCUAGUUUUAAACACAGCAUCUCUAAUGCCUUUUUAACUGCCUUAUGUGACAGUGGAAUGCCUGCAGCUGAUGACUGCAGACAGUUGCGUUGAUCGAAUGGAAAAAAAUCUGCUUAACAUCCUCCCUGCUGAUGCCCUACUGCCCUGAGCUGAAGAGGGAGAUGGGCAGUAAUCAACGAGUGGAAAAACCUCUUCAGAUCCGACAUGCCACUCAAUAGUUGUGAGCGUCAUCAGCCACGGCCAUCGAUCUGCCUGGACAUCAUUCGAGAGAGAAGUGCUACGCUCAUCAGACCCCUGAGAGAGCACUCAUACCUCAAACAGCCAUUAAUCAAAUAAUAUUCACAAACACACACACACACACACACACACACACACACACAGCCAUACUCAACUAAUAUUCAACCACACACACACACACACACACACACACACACACACACACACACACACACACACACACACACACACACACACACACACACACACACACACACACACACACACU
Long non-coding RNA from Clupea harengus (Atlantic herring), 3242 nucleotides. The record is from Ensembl. Lineage: Eukaryota; Metazoa; Chordata; Actinopteri; Clupeiformes; Clupeidae.